Molecule: ribosomal RNA, 344 nt
Filed under: Pseudomonas vranovensis
Lineage: Bacteria; Pseudomonadati; Pseudomonadota; Gammaproteobacteria; Pseudomonadales; Pseudomonadaceae
Description: bacterial SSU rRNA
Rfam family: Bacterial small subunit ribosomal RNA
Source: RNAcentral
UGGCUGUCGUCAGCUCGGGGGGGCUUUGGGUUAAGUCCCGUAACGAGCGCAACCCUUGUCCUUAGUUACCAGCACGUUAUGGUGGGCACUCUAAGGAGACUGCCGGUGACAAACCGGAGGAAGGUGGGGAUGACGUCAAGUCAUCAUGGCCCUUACGGCCUGGGCUACACACGUGCUACAAUGGUCGGUACAGAGGGUCGCCAAGCCGCGAGGUGGAGCUAAUCUCACAAAACCGAUCGUAGUCCGGAUCGCAGUCUGCAACUCGACUGCGUGAAGUCGGAAUCGCUAGUAAUCGCGAAUCAGAAUGUCGCGGUGAAUACGUUCCCGGGUCUUGUACACACCGA